Cinara cedri is the source of this 735-nucleotide non-coding RNA. The record is from the annotation of a GenBank genome assembly. Lineage: Eukaryota; Metazoa; Arthropoda; Insecta; Hemiptera; Aphididae.
AUAAUUACCGACCAUCAGGUAUUGUAAAUAGUUCAAGUAAGAAUGUGAAGUUAAUGAAUUUCUCACACUGUUCCUGGACAAGGUAAGUUAUUUAUCCAUAAUCUAUCCUUCGGACAAAAUAUUCUUACUUCUGAAUUUGGUAAUAGAUUAAUUCAUUCUAAAAUUAAGUAUAAAUUAUAUCCAAAAAUUAUUAACUCGACCAAUAGCCAUAUAAAUGCAAUAUAAUAUAUAAUUUAUUUUUCUUUAUUAUCAAUUUUUAUUUAUUUUGUGAUACUCUUAAAAAUUUAAACCUGUACAAAAACUGCUUUUAAUACUUAAUACUUGGAUAUAAUAUUAUUUUUGUGAUAAUAGCAUAAUUAAAUGGGAAUUUUUAUAUUUCAAAGUUGAUACUCGUGCAUUUUCGGACGGUCCCGAUUUCAGCGUUUAUAAGCUUAUUCUAUGAGAUACAUCUGGCUGUUAUCUCGCGGGGUCGAACUGCACGAUGCACUUGCACGAAUCCAACAAAUCCGACGCUACACCAUAAUUCCCCUCUCAUUCUACAGCUAAUACUACACGGUGCAGAAAAUCCAUAGAUAAUAAAAAUGGAUAAACCAUUUAACAACUAACCAUACCAUAUCAGUGUUUCAAGGACGGAUAUAGUACUACCAGUGGCGCACACCGGAGGGGUGAGUGGAGUCUGUGGUAACAACUAACACUUCUCAGAAAAUUGGUGGGUGCCUGGUGCCAGGUGAGUUA